This 1471-nucleotide ribosomal RNA is filed under the name Lactiplantibacillus plantarum. RNAcentral's name for it is "bacterial SSU rRNA". It matches the Rfam family "Bacterial small subunit ribosomal RNA". The record is from RNAcentral. Lineage: Bacteria; Bacillati; Bacillota; Bacilli; Lactobacillales; Lactobacillaceae.
ACGAUGGGGCGUGCUAUACAUGCAAGUCGAACGAACUCUGGUAUUGAUUGGUGCUUGCAUCAUGAUUUACAUUUGAGUGAGUGGCGAACUGGUGAGUAACACGUGGGAAACCUGCCCAGAAGCGGGGGAUAACACCUGGAAACAGAUGCUAAUACCGCAUAACAACUUGGACCGCAUGGUCCGAGUUUGAAAGAUGGCUUCGGCUAUCACUUUUGGAUGGUCCCGCGGCGUAUUAGCUAGAUGGUGGGGUAACGGCUCACCAUGGCAAUGAUACGUAGCCGACCUGAGAGGGUAAUCGGCCACAUUGGGACUGAGACACGGCCCAAACUCCUACGGGAGGCAGCAGUAGGGAAUCUUCCACAAUGGACGAAAGUCUGAUGGAGCAACGCCGCGUGAGUGAAGAAGGGUUUCGGCUCGUAAAACUCUGUUGUUAAAGAAGAACAUAUCUGAGAGUAACUGUUCAGGUAUUGACGGUAUUUAACCAGAAAGCCACGGCUAACUACGUGCCAGCAGCCGCGGUAAUACGUAGGUGGCAAGCGUUGUCCGGAUUUAUUGGGCGUAAAGCGAGCGCAGGCGGUUUUUUAAGUCUGAUGUGAAAGCCUUCGGCUCAACCGAAGAAGUGCAUCGGAAACUGGGAAACUUGAGUGCAGAAGAGGACAGUGGAACUCCAUGUGUAGCGGUGAAAUGCGUAGAUAUAUGGAAGAACACCAGUGGCGAAGGCGGCUGUCUGGUCUGUAACUGACGCUGAGGCUCGAAAGUAUGGGUAGCAAACAGGAUUAGAUACCCUGGUAGUCCAUACCGUAAACGAUGAAUGCUAAGUGUUGGAGGGUUUCCGCCCUUCAGUGCUGCAGCUAACGCAUUAAGCAUUCCGCCUGGGGAGUACGGCCGCAAGGCUGAAACUCAAAGGAAUUGACGGGGGCCCGCACAAGCGGUGGAGCAUGUGGUUUAAUUCGAAGCUACGCGAAGAACCUUACCAGGUCUUGACAUACUAUGCAAAUCUAAGAGAUUAGACGUUCCCUUCGGGGACAUGGAUACAGGUGGUGCAUGGUUGUCGUCAGCUCGUGUCGUGAGAUGUUGGGUUAAGUCCCGCAACGAGCGCAACCCUUAUUAUCAGUUGCCAGCAUUAAGUUGGGCACUCUGGUGAGACUGCCGGUGACAAACCGGAGGAAGGUGGGGAUGACGUCAAAUCAUCAUGCCCCUUAUGACCUGGGCUACACACGUGCUACAAUGGAUGGUACAACGAGUUGCGAACUCGCGAGAGUAAGCUAAUCUCUUAAAGCCAUUCUCAGUUCGGAUUGUAGGCUGCAACUCGCCUACAUGAAGUCGGAAUCGCUAGUAAUCGCGGAUCAGCAUGCCGCGGUGAAUACGUUCCCGGGCCUUGUACACACCGCCCGUCACACCAUGAGAGUUUGUAACACCCAAAGUCGGUGGGGUAACCUUUUAGGAACCAGCCGCCUAAGGUGACAGAAAA